Molecule: long non-coding RNA, 4183 nt
Organism: Phascolarctos cinereus (koala)
Lineage: Eukaryota; Metazoa; Chordata; Mammalia; Diprotodontia; Phascolarctidae
Source: RefSeq, a predicted model, not a curated record
UUCUUUCUUUCUUUUUUCUUUCUUUCUUUUCUUUCUUUCCUUUUCCCCCUUCUUUUCUUUUUGGAAAACAAUUUCUGGUUUCCAAGGGACAAUGUAAUUCCAUACAUUUUUAAAUGGCUGUCUACUUUUGUCUUUCUUAAAGGGCGUGUGUAAAUUUUUUGGGAUGGGGAGUUGAGGGGGGAGGAAUGCUGGUGCUUCUCCUUAAUCUCAGGCUCUGCGUGAAGCGUGAGAGGAAGCAGGAGCAUCUCCAAUAAGUCGGCUGCAGUAAACGGGGGUCAAAGGCAGCAGCAAACUUUGCAAGUUGCCACUGCUGCUCUGGUGACAGGCAAGACCUGGGCAUCUCCGUCCCAGUGAGAUUCUUCCUAUUAGAAUGCUGUGUGAACGUAGUGCGGUGUAAUCAGAGGAAUUAAAGGGGGGGGAGGUUGGUUUUUUUUCCCCUCCCGCUUCAGUGAAAGUGUUACAAAGUGAGUCAGGCGACUGUGGAUCAUCUGACUGAACUUUGCUGAAACCGACACACAUUCCUGUCUGCGGGCUCCUCGCAUUUCGAUUCCUUUCCCCUUACCCCUACUCCCACUUUUCUCCUUCACAUCUUAUUUUCUGGGAAUAGAUUUCAUCUUUUUACAUGGAGGAAAAAACGGGAUAUUUUCUGCCUUAGAUUAACUUUACUCUGAUAUUCUCCCUCUACGCUUCCCUGCUCAGUUGUGAUUCACCUAGUUAUUCUGGAGAAUUAUGAAGCUUAGAUUGUAGAUUCCUUUUCCUCUCACUUGCUAGACUUAUUUUCCUCCAACCCUCCUAGUCUGCCUCUUAACAAUUUUAUUUAGCAUUGUCAUCCAAUCCGUGUUUCCACCAAGCAUCCUUUCAAAUGCACAAACAACAGCACACAUUUAUCCCUAGUUGGUUUAUUCUAUUUAUACGUAGUUGACUUCAUUAACACACACACACACACACACACACACACACACACACACCAGCCUAGCUUACUGUUUGACCAUCUUUUCUGCAGCUUCUUUUUCUAUUCUUGUUGUUAUUAUUAUUAUUCCUUUCCAGGAAUUUCUAUAUGAUUUUGAUAAGCAUCAUCAUAUUUAGUGUUAUCAGCAAAGACACAAGCUCAGAAGUGACAUCCUUUCCAUGAAUCCAGGAGAGAAGAAAAAUCCACUCAGUUCAGAUAAAUCCUGGCAAUUCCCAAAGGGAAAGGCAUUGGAUACGAGCUUGACUAGAGAGAAAAUGAAAAACUCUUCUACCUGCUUCUCAAAAUCAGGACAUUGCUCCGGCAAGAAGAAACAAAUUAUUGAACACAAAGAAAAGCACUGGAAAAACAAACUAUAACUUCACAAUUAACUAACUGAAGAAAGACAAGUAAGGGGUGAGUUAGAAAACCAUGUAGCUAACGUACAGACUUUAGAUUAAGUUUUCAGGGUCUUGAGGAUAUACUUGAAAUUUGCAAUUAAACUUUCCUCCCCAGAGUGUUCUGGAUUUCCCAAGCUAUUGAAUAUACAGGACAUGGUUUUUUGAGAUGCAACAGAAAUAUCAUUCAGGUUCAUAUUUGCUCCCUAAGAUUGUUUAUUAUAGCUAGUGCUACACAUUAUACUCAUUAUCUGUUCCACCUGCAGAGUCCCCAUAUAGUCCCUCCCUCUCCCCUUUCCAUUAAAUUGUUUUCAGAAAACAUGAAACCAGGUAAUACACUCUUCCUAGACCUAUAUUAUGUCUUUACAUUAACUGUAAGGCUAAACUAUUUAUCUAUAUCCAAACCAAGAGAAGGGGGUGGGAGGAGGAAGGGACAAGAAACAAACACUCAAAAUAGUCUUUACUGCGAAAGAGCACUCCUGGAAACCUCGCUUUAAAUCUCAUUCUCUUUUCUCGAAAAAAUGACUGUUUAACAUGAGAAAAAAAGGCUCCUUGACACAAAGCUUUUGUUAUCCAGUUGAUCAGCAACGUGCUUUAGAUACUUGUAAGGGUGGAAAAAAAAGCCCCACAACAGACAUUGAUUUUAGAAAAUCAAUAACCAACAUUUAAUAAAAAGAACAGAGGAAACACAAGAGAGGAGAGGGGAACAUUACGUGUAAUUUUAGUGUCUACUAAAUUACCCAGAGAUGAGGAAAGGGGAGGUCUCCAGUGUGAAGACCACCUUAAAUAAUGACAGACACAAGAGUAAGGAAAAAUAGGGGGAAAAAACCACAAGACUUAAAAGAGGCAGCCUGAACAGAUCCUGGGGAAUCUCCACUGAAUAUAUUAUUUUGCUUGGGUUUUGUUUUGAUUUUUUUCUUUUGUAAUACUAAAGCCAAGCAAAUAGAUCAAAGACAACACAAAGAGAAAAGCCAGUGUAACAUAACGAACAGUUUCUGACUAAAAUUCCUCUAUCACUCCCCCAUAUGGCUCGACACCUCCGCCACAACAAGAAAAAGACACACACGCACGCACAAAACCUAGAGAGAGAAAGACAGGAUCAUUUGUCUCCAAUCAAAAAAUUCUCUUCUCUUUGUGUUAUUCUCCCUCCACACCCCACAUCCCACACCCCAGUCUCUACUUAAAUUCUGUAGCUCAGCUUUAAGGAAAGGGAUUGAGGUUCAUACAAUUGUCUUCAUUUCUCCUGAUCUCUAGAGGAAAGUUGCUGAAAGUGGGGCCGGGAAGUCCAUUCAGGGCUCUGGGAGGGGGUGGGGUGGGGGGGCUUUCGACUACGGAAGCAGUGGAGAAAAUAGGGAGGGACAGAACCCCACACCAGAGUAGAAGCAGCCAAAUUGUGAGCUCAGUCCAGAACACCACGUCCCAUUGAGCUCAGCCUCUCUGUAGACUGCAGAGACCAGGGGAGAGGGCAAUCAUGGGCGACUAGACAAAUUGUUUUAUCAGUAUUAUUAUGAUUACACUGGAGAAGUUUCUUUCAUAUUUUUUGAAAAACUGGAGUGACCCCCCCCCAUCUCCCUUUGGUGAAGGACUCUAAGUUCCAGUCAUUACUUUCACUUCUUUAUUUAUGAUCACAGAAGCUGGGGUGUUACUUCACACACAUCCACACAAAGAAUGAAAUAAAGAAAUGAAACUCACUAGGCAGACAAAACAGCAAAGUUUUUGCUUAGAAAACAUCCCUUUUCUAUGGGAGAGGAUGGGAAACUACAUCUGGGAGAGAGGCUUUUCCUGAAUUUGCUGUCUGAAUUGACCACUGCUUUGCAAUUAUUAACAGGUACAUGCAAAGUUUAAGAUUCUUAGAGUAAUUGAUUUUGUUUAGAUGCUACAAGAUGACAGCAGAUGUCCACCUACUGACUUUGUAUAUAGCUGAAUUACUUUCAGUAAAACUUUUGCAAAGAUGGAAGAAAUAUGGAAGCAAAAUGCACCUUGGUUACCUGGAUGAACAGAAUCAACUCCCAUCCAAAGGGACCACGAGAGAAAAAGAGGGAAAAAAUACAAUGCAAAAAGAAAAAAAAAUAAGGUAAAGAAAAAGAAGAACCUACCUGCGAAGUCUUGUUUGCAGUUUUGGCCAGAAAUGGUGAGAAGAAAAAGCAUGAAGAAGCCGCGAAGUGUGGGGGAGAAAAGGUGGAAGAGAAGCAGCUCCUGGAGAAAAUUGUAAAAAGCCUUGCAAAGAGUUGUCGGAAGGACCGUUAUUCCUGCUGGGCAGAGAAGAGAGGCGAGACCCUGAAACACGCGCCACCUAUCUUUGUGGGGAGGGAUAAUUGAAGAGCACUAAACGUGAGCAUCAUGUGAAAACGUGAUCGCCAAGUUUCUCUCUGGGAAAGGAUCUGGGAUAGAUUAUACCUUGAAGUCUCCGCAAACGCUUUAGUGGAAGAAAUGAAAUUCCACCUCCCUCCCUUCCUCCCUCCCUCCCUCUCUCUAUCCCUCCCUCCCUCUCUCCCUCCCUCCCCCUCUUCUCCCCCCUCCUCCCCCCUCCCUAACCAUCAAGUCUUUGGCAUCAUUAUCCUCUUCACUAAAUCCUACUGGAUACAAGGCGGAAAACGGUGAACACCAUUCACAGAACUGGAGCACUCAAAGGAACCGAAAGUUAAAGGCAAAGAUCCUGUGUCUUCAAUCAAGAUCUCUUCUUCUUACAAAGAUAUCUCUAAUGGCCAGAUUUCAGAUGCACAUUAACUUGUGUGGAUUUCUCAGUACGGCUCCCAGCACUAAAGUCUUUGCCCUUUUUCUCUAAGAUUUUCUUUUCUUUUCAGACGCCAAAACCAUAUAAUAAAAUUAUAUGAAGAAA